Molecule: long non-coding RNA, 387 nt
Filed under: Lepidothrix coronata (blue-crowned manakin)
Lineage: Eukaryota; Metazoa; Chordata; Aves; Passeriformes; Pipridae
Description: Prostate cancer antigen RNA 3 conserved region 2 (ENSLCOG00000005062.1)
Rfam family: Prostate cancer antigen RNA 3 conserved region 2 (bases 1-336)
Source: RNAcentral
UACUUUUGAUCCAUAUGAAAGACUCAAAAAACAGGCAUAUUUUCAAACAGCCUUCUUCACCAUCAGUGAUGUACCUGUGCUUGAUGUUACUAUUCUUCACAAAAUGUGAUAAUAAUGUUAACUGUUAACAUAAAAACAAAGUUUGGCUCUGCAGAAGCGGCUGGAAACGAAUAACCACAAUAUACUUAGAUCUCUUGGUUUGGUUUGGCAUAUACUGCUCAUAUUCCUAAAUAUACUACUCAUAUUUAGGAAUUCUUCUAAAUGAAAUACUUAUUUUGUGUCUCAGCUGGUGUGCUUAAGGGAAUAUUCAUUUUUCAGCAGUAACAUGGAAUUUGAUUUUUUUAAAUUUUUUUUAUAAAUUUAGUGGAUUGAAACACUUUGAACAAA